AAGUCGAGGGGCAGCAUGAACUUAGCUUGCUAAGUUUGAUGGCGACCGGCGCACGGGUGAGUAACACGUAUCCAACCUGCCGAUGACUCGGGGAUAGCCUUUCGAAAGAAAGAUUAAUACCCGAUGGCAUAGUUCUUCCGCAUGGUAGAACUAUUAAAGAAAUUCGGUAUGAGAUGGGGAUGCGUUCCAUUAGUUUGUUGGCGGGGUAACGGCCCACCUAGCCGACGAUGGAUAGGGGUUCUGAGAGGAAGGUCCCCACAUUGGAACUGAGACACGGUCCAAACUCC
Molecule: ribosomal RNA, 287 nt
Filed under: uncultured Bacteroides sp.
Lineage: Bacteria; Pseudomonadati; Bacteroidota; Bacteroidia; Bacteroidales; Bacteroidaceae
Description: partial 16S ribosomal RNA
Rfam family: Bacterial small subunit ribosomal RNA
Source: RNAcentral